UACGGAGGAUGCGAGCGUUAUCCGGAUUUACUGGGUGUAAAGGGAGAGUAGGUGGCAGAGCAAGUCCGAAGUGAAAACCCAAAGCUCAACUAUGGGAAUGCUUUAGAAACUGCUCAGCUAGAGUGCAGGAGAGGCAAGUGGAAUUCUUAGUGUAGCGGUGAAAUGCGUAGAUAUUAGGAGGAACACCAGUGGCGAAGGCGGCUUUCUGGACUGUAACUGACGCUGAGGCACGAAAGCGUGGGGAGCAA
This 248-nucleotide ribosomal RNA is filed under the name uncultured Lachnospiraceae bacterium. RNAcentral's name for it is "partial 16S ribosomal RNA". It matches the Rfam family "Bacterial small subunit ribosomal RNA", at positions 524 to 771 of the family's 1533-position model. Lineage: Bacteria; Bacillati; Bacillota; Clostridia; Lachnospirales; Lachnospiraceae. The record is from RNAcentral.